Long non-coding RNA from Puntigrus tetrazona (Sumatra barb), 4176 nucleotides. RefSeq lists it as uncharacterized. The transcript is spliced from 4 exons. Lineage: Eukaryota; Metazoa; Chordata; Actinopteri; Cypriniformes; Cyprinidae. The record is from RefSeq and is a predicted model, not a curated record.
AAAUAAACUUGAAUUUAAUUGUUUCAACUGUGCCCUCUUGGGUGCAGGCAAUAUCAAAAAGGGACUAUGUCCUCAUUGUGAGGCCAUGCCCAUGACAGUACUGCGAUCCUGCCUUUCUAUCCUUCGGGAAGGAUCGACACCUCUGCUGUCACCCAACCCGGUUUUUCUGCGGCUAACAGAGGAUCGGCGGCUGACACAUUGGGGAUCAGAAGACUACGGGAGUGCUGCUCCGCGGUUUCAACCCUGCAGACCACUCAUUCCUCCCUCAGUGCUUCUUCCGUCCGGCUGCCGAGUGAUGCAGGAGGGUUGUCUCAUGCCGGUCCUUCCAUGUCGUUUGGUGCAGAGAGGAGGACCAGAUGUCAACCUCUGCAUCGGGGACGGGCUAUCGUUAGGCGAGGAGGAUGAUGAGGAGGAGCCGUGGCCUUCGGAGUCAGAUCCGGAGUUGCAAGCCAUGCUUGGCCGGGCCGCCACGCAGUAUCGGGCUGGAGCUGUCAACAUCGCUCAGCCCUGAGCCCUCGGGAUUGGAUGAUUGGUUUCUGGGGGCUGCCUGUGAUAGUAAAUCGUGGCCCGCUCCAGUGCCUUGCUUCCUGGAGGUGAAUAAGGAGUUGAAAAAUUUGUGGAUAGCUCCUUUUUCAGCCAGAAGCCGCUCGUCUUCCUCCUCCAUCUUCACCAUUUGUGCCGGCAAAGCGCGCCACCUGGCGAAAUCGUCCCAGACUCCCAUCUAAAGCGUUGUAGGACCACGGCGCGUUGCUCCUAAGGCCUACAGUGCUGCGGGCAAAGCUGCCUCUGCCCUGCAUGUCAUGGCAAUCCUGCAGGUUCACCCAGGCCAAGGAAUUGAAAGAGCUGCACGAGGGUGGCUCCAACCUGCGGUCGAUGCAGGUGCUGUGCACAGCGACCGACUUUGCUCUCUGAAGUCACAGCGCGGCCCCUCUGGAAGCGAUGUCCACUUUGGUGAUCCAGAGCCCCAGCUAUGGCUCAAUCUGGCCAAGAUGCACGAUGCUGACAAGAUUCUCUUCUUGGAUGCUCUCAUCUCUCAGGCUGGGCUAUUCGGCGACACUGAGGACUUAGCAGUUUUGGCAGUACAACAGCAGACAGAGGCGAUUCAGCACAUCGUACCCGGCGUGAUCCUCCAGCUGCCACCGCUCUGUUGCGGGUUUCAUCUCGUCCUGCUUGCCGCCGAGGGCACCCUUUUCAGCCUCAGGUAGUCUGCAAGUCCUCCAGGAAGAUGACAAAGAGACCCUGAGAUGGAUGGCCCGGAGAGGUGAGCAGUUGCUCUUCAGGAAAUGGUGAACAUGGCACCACUUCUUUUCCCCGGAGGAUGGCCGGGUGGAAAACCUUCUGUUUCAUUUUCCUGCUGUUCCACCCAAGGGUCUGUGGUAUCUAUUGUCUCAGAAAAGAGCAAUUUCCUCAUCCUCCGGGCGUCGGGUCCAUGGUGUGACAGAGUGCAGAGAUCUGUUUCUUCACUUCCCCCACAGCACCCCCUUUGCCAGUGGCCAAGAGACAACAGUUAGGGGGGCGCUACGCUUCUCCAUGUAUCUCCAGUUAGAGCGGUAAGGCAUUCGAAAGUCUGUGAAGUUCCAGCCCGAGCGGACUGUCCAAUCCAACUGUUCCCGCUGCACACCCCUUGGUACGCUGAUGAGUCCGAUAGUGCCACUCGCGAAGAGUUAGGAUGUGUGGUCAGCACUACCCAAUCCCUCACACUGGCUUAUCUGGACAAUUCGGCUCGGCUAUGUAAUCCAAUUCACCCAGCAUCCUCACAGGUUCAGUGGCAUUCUAGAAACGUCUGUGGCAGCCCAGAACGCUCCUGUCUUGCAAGAGGAGAUUGCUGUCCUCCUGGCAAAGGAUGCAAUCGAGCAGUCCCUCCAGCCGAGAUGAAGGCAGGGUUUACAGCCCCUACUUCAUUGUACCUAAGAAAGACUGUGGCCUUUGACCAAUCCUAGAUCUGCUAGUUCUGAAUCAGGCCCUGCACAAGCUUCCAUUCAGAAUGCUUACACAGAAACGCAUAUUUUCAUGUCUCCAUCCUUCCUCACCACAGACCGUUUCUUUGGUUCGUGUUCAAAGGUCGAGCAUGGCAAUACAAAAGUCCUCCCCUUCAGACUCUCCCUGUAUCCGUGGGUCUUUGUCAAGGUUGCAGAGGGCACUCUUGCCUCCUUUCGGGAAGUGGGCAUCAGACUCCUCAAUUAUCUCAACGACUGGCUUAAUCUAGCUCAGUCAUGUGAGAGAUUGUGCGAGCACAGGGACCUGGUGCUAUGACACCUCAGUCAGUUGGGGCUUUGGGUCAGAGGAUCUCUUUCUCUGUCUGGAGUUAGACUCGGCUCAUAUUAGCUAGCCGGACCUGGUUUUCCAUGUUUGGCUCCUGGGCGGGCGCUGCAGACUUAGGUGAUUUACCACAGGCUGUGGUGAACACUAUUAUUCAGGCUAGAGCUCCUCUCUACGAGACAAGCCUAUGCCUUGAAGUUGAGUCUGUUCACGAACUGGUGUUCUUCUUGCAGGGAAGACCCGGAAAUGCAUGAUUGGAGUAGUGCUUUCCUUCCUGCAAGAAGUGUUGGAGCGCAAGCAGUUACGCUCCACCCUAAAAAGUGUAUGUGGCUGCAACAGUCUGAUACAGGCUCAGUAUCUGCGUCGCUUGCCUGAAUCCAGUUAUCCCCUGUACUGGGCUAGGUGCUCCAUAUAGCUGAUUCUCCACUGAGAUCCUAUAUGUGUAUUCUCCACGGCAAGGUUCCUCUUGGGAACCCAUGUCUUCCCUUGACAAGAGUGGUCAGUACUUACUAGUUUCCACAUGUCAUUACGCAUUCCACAUUAAUACACAUUUAUAGAGCCAUUUGAUAACAUACUGUCACACUGUCACUUCCCUCACCUGACGAUCCUCCCACCUGGUCCCGCUCGCAAUCACCAGAGUACUAAUCACCUGAAACCUGCAGCCACUUCCCGUCACCCCAUAUAACCCGCUCACUCCAUUACCUUAGUUGCUGAUCUCAAGGUUGCACACACUACUCUGGUCACCUCUCUGUCUGCCUGCCUGCCUGCCUACUAACCCAAGAAAUCUCCUGUAUCAUAAAUUCUCCCAAAAGGAAAGACUUUUUUCUUGCUUUGUUGAACUCUUGAUUAUUACCAGUUCUGAAAUUCCUGUGUUGAUCGUUUGACGGCAGUAAGCCGAACUCUGCCCUUCUGUUAAUAAAACUUCAGUUUUGCUUGAAGCCUGAGUCUGUCUAUUGACCAGAGUGUGACACAUAAUAUGCUUCUUGACACAGACACUCUUGCUGACCAGAAACAAAUCUUGAGACCACGAUGGUACUGACGGUAAAGGUGGCUGUGCUGAUUGUGGCCUUUUGGGGCUUGUAAUCAUCACCUCCCCUAAGGGAAAGAAUAGAAGUAUUCAGACUUGUUCUGUGAACGAUUCAGAGGAGCGUCUCAGAGAAAAGGCCCAGAAUGCGUUAGCUGACAUUGGUUCUAAUCGUGUACUGCAUCCUUCUAAAAAGAGAGCGGCCCGAGGCCAGCAUGUCUUUAACAACGGGCUCCUUGGGUUCCACCGCAGCGUUCUGCAGGAGCUGCUGAGAGAUGUGGGGGGCUAUGAUGAACAGCUGGACAACCUGAUGCAGGACCUUGUGAUCCCUCUCAGAAAUACUCAACAAACUGCAAUUGAAACAAUGGUGGCCUACUUCAGCUCAAAUGAGCACUACGUGGAUUACAAUGCUGAUUUAUAUGGAGAGUUUGUGAAGGAGCUUCGAGAUGCACUUGUGAGAUACCUCAAGGCUGAGACAUCUGAGAGCCAAAAUGAGAGAUAUGAAAUCUGGAAAAAGCGCCAGCGGUGCACUUCAUUGCCACUCAAAUGGUGAACCACGAGGUUUAUGUGGACCCAAUGGCCCGUGAUCGCUGUCUGCAGGAACACCCAAGACCACAAGAUGAGCAACUGUACAAUCAGGUCAGAGAUGCACUAAAGAUUAGGUUCCAGGACAUCCUGCAGGACUUUCGAAGAGUGUCCGACAAGAUCCGUGUCUUUCGCAAGAGAAAGAACUGGAGCUGGGACAAAUAGGGACAUUACGUGAGUCUGCAGCAAAAACCUGUUCCAGGACCAGUCUUCCUUAAAGUACUUGAGUGCAUCUUGUUUCAUACUUUGAGUAUAAUUAAAUCAUGGUACUUCUACAUGAGUAAAAUAAAAUUGAAGAGUUCAACUUU